CCGGCGCUCCGAUUGGCCCUCUCGGAGAAAAGGGGCGUGGCCCCUCCUUACUAUGCGGUGCGAGGACCCAACAACAUUCCAAUCGCCACGGCCACGCCUCCGGGCCACUCCCCCUCGCCGAGCUGCGGCCUCCCCGUCUCCUCGGCCACACCCCCUCCCAACUACUUAAAAAGGCCACUCCAAAGCUCACGUUUUCCUGCUCGGUGCUCGGGUGUUCCAGUCGCCGCCGCCUGCUCGGGGAGGCGGAAUGGUUCCGCCCUUCGGGACGCGCUGAUUCACGGGAAAGAGUGCAACCAUGGCAUCCCGAAAGGGGUUUGGGGAGGGGAGACGACCUAGCACCCCAGUGCCCAAGCUGGGACCGACCUCGGGACUGGGACCACCGCAGUUCAGAUGAGACGCGGACGUGAGGAAGAAGGCUUUCCUGAGCUCCUCGCUUUAUUUUCGUUCGGGCACCCCUUCCCUGAUAGUCCCGCCCUCAGUCGAGCUGGCUGGAGGUCUCUCAGGCUGAAGUUUCAGUUCUGUGGCCUCCGGCUGCUCCCUGCAUGCUCUUUAGGGCCCCGGGGGACCCUCUUGGACUUUAAACUCAUAAAUUCGCAGC
Long non-coding RNA from Chinchilla lanigera (long-tailed chinchilla), 598 nucleotides. RefSeq lists it as uncharacterized. The record is from RefSeq and is a predicted model, not a curated record. NCBI's taxonomy places the organism in Eukaryota, Metazoa, Chordata, Mammalia, Rodentia, Chinchillidae. The transcript has 2 exons.